Molecule: unclassified non-coding RNA, 169 nt
Filed under: uncultured Sebacinaceae
Lineage: Eukaryota; Fungi; Basidiomycota; Agaricomycetes; Sebacinales; Sebacinaceae
Description: sequence contains ITS1
Source: RNAcentral
AUGAUUACGAAUCGUUGCCUUCUGUGCUGGCCAGAACACUGGCAAGUGCACGUCGGUGGCUUUCAUCCAAUCCCCUGUGAACCUUUGGCCUUUGCUAGCCUCGGCCGGCAGAGGAAUUUACACACACUCGAAUGUAAUGAAUAUAUUGUCGUGCGCAAGCACUAAUGUA